RNAcentral lists this ribosomal RNA (254 nucleotides) under uncultured bacterium. RNAcentral's name for it is "partial 16S ribosomal RNA". It matches the Rfam family "Bacterial small subunit ribosomal RNA", at positions 524 to 776 of the family's 1533-position model. The record is from RNAcentral.
UACGUAGGGGGCAAGCGUUGUCCGGAUUUAUUGGGCGUAAAGAGCUCGUAGGCGGUUUGGCAAGUCGGGUGUGAAAACUCCGGGCUCAACUCGGAGACGCCACUCGAUACUGCCAUGACUCGAGUCCGGUAGGGGAGUGCGGAAUUCCUGGUGUAGCGGUGAAAUGCGCAGAUAUCAGGAGGAACACCGGUGGCGAAGGCGGCACUCUGGGCCGGUACUGACGCUGAGGCGCGAAAGCCAGGGGAGCAAACGGG